UUAUUACAAGAUGGCAAACCUGUUGCAUACUUUUCUGAAAAAUUGAGUGGGCCUAGUCUGAAUUAUUCUACUUAUGAUAAAGAAUUAUAUGCUCUUGUUCGGACUUUAGAAACAUGGCAACAUUAUUUAUGGCCCAAAGAAUUUGUUAUACAUUCUGAUCAUGAAUCUUUAAAACAUAUUAAAAGUCAAGCUAAACUGAAUCGUAGACAUGCUAAAUGGGUUGAAUUCAUUGAGACUUUCCCUUAUGUCAUUAAACACAAGAAGGGAAAAGAAAAUGUUAUUGCUGAUGCAUUGUCUCGUCGCUAUACUAUGCUUUCACAACUUGAC
This 327-nucleotide ribosomal RNA is filed under the name Triticum aestivum (bread wheat). RNAcentral describes it as "partial small subunit ribosomal RNA". Lineage: Eukaryota; Viridiplantae; Streptophyta; Magnoliopsida; Poales; Poaceae. The record is from RNAcentral.